CAGUAGCCGCGGUAAUACGAAGGGGGCUAGCGUUGUUCGGAUUUACUGGGCGUAAGGCGCACGUAGGCGGACUUUUAAGUCAGGGGUGAAAUCCCAAGGCUCAACCUUGGAACUGCCUUUGAUACUGGAAGUCUUGAGUUCGGGAGAGGUGAGUGGAACUGCGAGUGUAGAGGUGAAAUUCGUAGAUAUUCGCAAGAGCACCAGUGGCGAAGGCGGCUCACUGGCCCGAUACUGACGCUGAGGUGCGAAAGCGUGGGGAGCAAACAGGAUUAGAUACCCGGGUAGUCCCUGUCUCUUAUAC
Molecule: ribosomal RNA, 301 nt
Filed under: uncultured bacterium
Lineage: Bacteria
Description: partial 16S ribosomal RNA
Rfam family: Bacterial small subunit ribosomal RNA
Source: RNAcentral